GGCGAACGGGUGCGUAACACGUGGAUACAUUCCGGGAAGCGGGGGAUAGCCCAGGGAAACUUGGAUUAAUACCGCAUGUGGUCGAAAGACUAAAGACGGGGAUCGAAAGACCUGUCACUUCCCGAUUGGUCCGCGGCCUAUCAGCUAGUUGGCGGGGUAAAAGCCCACCAAGGCUACGACGGGUAGCUGGUCUUAGAGGACGACCAGCCACACUGGAACUGAGACACGGUCCAGACACCUACGGGUGGCAGCAGUCGAGAAUCUUUCACAAUGGGGGCAACCCUGAUGGAGCGACGCCGCGUGGAGGAUAAGGUCUUCGGAUUGUAAACUCCUGUCAUGCGCGAACAAGGUUGCAGGGAUAAUACCUUUGCAAAUUGAUGGUAGCGCAAGAGGAAGAGACGGCUAACUCUGUGCCAGCAGCCGCGGUAAUACAGAGGUCUCAAGCGUUGUUCGGAAUCACUGGGCGUAAAGGGUGCGUAGGUGGCAUGGUAAGUCAGAUGUGAAAGCCUGGGGCUCAACCUCAGAAUUGCAUCCGAUACUGCUGUGCUAGAGUACUGGAGGGGUGACUAGAAUUCUCGGUGUAGCAGUGAAAUGCGUAGAUAUCGAGAGGAAUACCAAAGGCGUAGGCAGGUCACUGGACAGUCACUGACACUGAGGCACGAAGGCCAGGGGAGCAAACGGGAUUAGAUACCCCGGUAGUCCUGGCAGUAAACGGUGCAUACUUGGUGUGGGGAAGAUUCGACCCUUCCUGUGCCGGAGCUAACGCGUUAAGUAUGCCGCCUGGGAAGUACGGUCGCAAGAUUAAAACUCAAAGAAAUUGACGGGGACCCGCACAGCGGUGGGAGUUUGUGGCUUAAUUCGAUGCAACGCGAGAACCUUACCUGGUCUUGACAUGCACUGUGUCUCCGAUGAAAGUCCGGAUAGAGUAGCAAUACUCGCUUGCACAGUGCUGCAUGCUGUCGUCAGCUCUGUCUGAGAAGUUGGUUGUGUGUUAAGUUCCCCGCCAACGAGGCGCACCCUGUUGAUUUGUUUGUCCACCCCGCUUACGAGCCUC
RNAcentral lists this ribosomal RNA (1054 nucleotides) under uncultured bacterium. RNAcentral's name for it is "bacterial SSU rRNA". It matches the Rfam family "Bacterial small subunit ribosomal RNA", at positions 97 to 1138 of the family's 1533-position model. The record is from RNAcentral.